This 447-nucleotide ribosomal RNA is filed under the name uncultured bacterium. RNAcentral's name for it is "bacterial SSU rRNA". It matches the Rfam family "Bacterial small subunit ribosomal RNA", at positions 330 to 793 of the family's 1533-position model. The record is from RNAcentral.
GCCAGACUCCUACGGGAGGCAGCAGUGGGGAAUAUUGGACAAUGGGGGGAACCCUGAUCCAGCGACGCCGCGUGAGUGAAGAAGUAUUUCGGUAUGUAAAGCUCUCUCAGCAGGGAAGAAGAAAGACGGUACCUGAGUAAGAAGCCCCGGCUAACUACGUGCCAGCAGCCGCGGUAAUACGUAGGGGGCAAGCGUUAUCCGGAUUUACUGGGUGUAAAGGGAGCGUAGACGGUAUGGCAAGUCUGAAGUGAAAGCCCCGGGCUCAACCUGGGAACUGCUUUGGAAACUGUUAAACUAGAGUGCUGGAGAGGCGGGCGGAAUUCCUAGUGUAGCGGUGAAAUGCGUAGAUAUUAGGAGGAACACCAGUGGCGAAGGCGGCCUGCUGGACAGUAACUGACGUUGAGGCUCGAAAGCGUGGGGAGCAAACAGGAUUAGAUACCCGAGUAC